Molecule: ribosomal RNA, 256 nt
Filed under: uncultured bacterium
Lineage: Bacteria
Description: partial 16S ribosomal RNA
Rfam family: Bacterial small subunit ribosomal RNA
Source: RNAcentral
UACGGAGGGUGCAAGCGUUAUCCGGAUUUACUGGGUUUAAAGGGUGUGUAGGCGGACUUUUAAGUCCGUGGUGAAAUCUCCGGGCUCAACCCGGAAACUGCCAUGGAUACUAUAGGUCUUGAAUAUUGUUGAGGUGGGCGGAACGGGUCAUGUAGCGGUGAAAUGCAUAGAUAUGACCCGGAACACCGAUUGCGAAGGCAGCCCACUAAGCAAUGAUUGACGCUGAGGCACGGAAAAGCGUGGGGAUCAAACAGGG